UAUCAAUAAGCGGAGGAAAAGAAACUAACAAGGAUUCCCCUAGUAACUGCGAGUGAAGCGGGAAAAGCUCAAAUUUAAAAUCUGGCGGUCUUCGGCCGUCCGAGUUGUAGUCUGGAGAAGUGCUUUCCGCGCUGGACCGUGUAUAAGUCUCUUGGAACAGAGCGUCAUAGAGGGUGAGAAUCCCGUCUUUGACACGGACUACCAGUGCUUUGUGAUGCGCUCUCAAAGAGUCGAGUUGUUUGGGAAUGCAGCUCAAAAUGGGUGGUGAAUUCCAUCUAAAGCUAAAUAUUGGCGAGAGACCGAUAGCGAACAAGUACCGUGAGGGAAAGAUGAAAAGCACUUUGGAAAGAGAGUUAAACAGUACGUGAAAUUGCUGAAAGGGAAACGCUUGAAGUCAGUCGCGUCGUCCGGAACUCAGCCUUGCUUUCGCUUGGUGCACUUUCCGGAUGACGGGUCAGCAUCGAUUUUGACCGUCGGAAAAGGGCUGGAGUAAUGUGGCACCUCCGGGUGUGUUAUAGACUCUAGUCGCAUACGGCGGUUGGGAUCGAGGAACGCAGCGCGCCGCAAGGCAGGGGUUCGCCCACUUUCGCGCUUAGGAUGCUGGCAUAAUGGCUUUAAACGACCCGUCUUGAAACACGGACCAAGGAGUCUAACAUACCUGCGAGUGUUUGGGUGGAAAACCCGAGCGCGUAAUGAAAGUGAAAGUUGAGACCUCUGUCGUGGAGGGCAUCGACGCCCGGACCUGACGUUCUCUGAAGGAUCCGCGGUAGAGCAUGUAUGUUGGGACCCGAAAGAUGGUGAACUAUGCCUGAAUAGGGUGAAGCCAGAGGAAACUCUGGUGGAGGCUCGUAGCGAUUCUGACGUGCAAAUCGAUCGUCAAAUUUGGGUAUAGGGGCGAAAGACUAAUCGA
RNAcentral lists this ribosomal RNA (910 nucleotides) under Ganoderma lucidum. RNAcentral describes it as "partial large subunit ribosomal RNA". It matches the Rfam family "Eukaryotic large subunit ribosomal RNA", at positions 41 to 938 of the family's 3401-position model. The record is from RNAcentral. Lineage: Eukaryota; Fungi; Basidiomycota; Agaricomycetes; Polyporales; Polyporaceae.